Molecule: ribosomal RNA, 346 nt
Filed under: uncultured fungus
Lineage: Eukaryota; Fungi
Description: eukaryotic LSU rRNA
Rfam family: 5.8S ribosomal RNA (bases 1-71)
Source: RNAcentral
GUGAGUCAUCGAAUCUUUGAACGCAUCUUGCGCCCCUUGGUAUUCCGAGGGGCAUGCCUGUUUGAGUGUCAUUAAUUUCUCAACCUUACUAGCUUUGCUAGUCUGGCUUGGAUGUGGAGGUUUAUGCAGGCUUUUAACAAGUCAGCUCCUCUGAAAUGCAUUAGCGGUACCCUAGUGGUUAACAGCUAUUGGUGUGAUAACUAUCUACGCCAUUAGAAGUGCCACAACUAUAUAAUAGGGUUAUGCUGCUGUCUAACCGUCUACUUGCUAGACAACUAUUUGUACAAUCUUGGCCUCAAAUCAGGUAGGACUACCCGCUGAACUUAAGCAUAUCAAUAAGCGGAGG